This 468-nucleotide ribosomal RNA is filed under the name uncultured Gemmatimonas sp. RNAcentral's name for it is "bacterial SSU rRNA". It matches the Rfam family "Bacterial small subunit ribosomal RNA", at positions 248 to 716 of the family's 1533-position model. The record is from RNAcentral. Lineage: Bacteria; Pseudomonadati; Gemmatimonadota; Gemmatimonadia; Gemmatimonadales; Gemmatimonadaceae.
AUUGGCGAGGUAACGGCUCACCAAGGCAACGACGGGUAGCUGGUCUGAGAGGAUGGCCAGCCACAUUGGGACUGAGAUACGGCCCAGACUCCUACGGGAGGCAGCAGUGGGGAAUCUUGCGCAAUGGCCUAACGGCUGACGCAGCGACGCCGCGUGUGGGAUGAAGCUCUUCGGAGUGUAAACCACUGUUGCCCGGGACGAACAGCUCGAUUUCUCGAGCCUGACGGUACCGGGUGAGGAAGCACCGGCUAACUCCGUGCCAGCAGCCGCGGUAAUACGGGGGGUGCGAGCGUUGUCCGGAAUCACUGGGCGUAAAGGGCGCGUAGGUGGUUUGAUAAGGGUGUGGUGAAAGUCCGGGGCUCAACCCCGGAUCUGCCGUGCCGACUGUCAGACUCGAGGGCUGUAGAGGCAGACGGAAUUCCGGGUGUAGCGGUGGAAUGCGUAGAGAUCCGGAGGAAGACCGGUGGC